Molecule: small RNA, 570 nt
Filed under: Pan troglodytes (chimpanzee)
Lineage: Eukaryota; Metazoa; Chordata; Mammalia; Primates; Hominidae
Description: retained intron
Source: RNAcentral
GCUGAAUACCAGUUUCCGAGCGGCAGCGGCAGCGAUGGCGAUUUUUAGUGUGUAUGUGGUGAACAAAGCUGGCGGCUUGAUUUACCAGUUGGACAGCUACGCGCCACGGGCUGAGGCUGAGAAAACUUUCAGUUAUCCGCUGGAUCUGCUGCUCAAGCUACACGAUGAGCGUGUGUUGGUUGCUUUCGGCCAGCGGGACGGCAUCCGAGUGGGUCAUGCAGUGCUGGCCAUCAAUGGCAUGGACGUGAAUGGCAGGUACACGGCCGACGGGAAAGAGGUGCUGGAGUAUCUGGGUAACCCUGCUAAUUACCCGGUGUCCAUUCGAUUUGGCCGGCCCCGCCUCACUUCUAAUGAGAAGCUUAUGCUGGCCUCCAUGUUCCACUCGUAAGUCCCCCGUCUCCUGAACGGCAGCGCUUGUAAUUUGUCUACCUUUUCUUAAAUCGUCGUUCUGGUGUUAUGAAAAACGCAACCGAUCCAGAUCUAGAUUUUAGGUAAUAACGGCAGUGGUGUCAUCUUUUUUUGCUGGGUGGGGAGGGGCCGCGGAGUUACCCAGGCUGGAGCGCAGUGGUG